This 530-nucleotide ribosomal RNA is filed under the name uncultured bacterium. Its description in RNAcentral is "bacterial SSU rRNA". It matches the Rfam family "Bacterial small subunit ribosomal RNA", at positions 355 to 896 of the family's 1533-position model. The record is from RNAcentral.
UGGGGAAUAUUGUACAAUGGGCGGAAGCCUGAUGCAGCGACGCCGCGUGGGGGAUGAAGGCCUUCGGGUUGUAAACUCCUUUCGACAGGGACGAAGCCUUUGUGACGGUACCUGUAUAAGAAGCACCGGCUAACUACGUGCCGGCAGCCGCGGUAAUACGUAGGGUGCGAGCGUUGUCCGGAAUUACUGGGCGUAAAGAGCUCGUAGGUGGUUUGUCGCGUCGUCUGUGAAAUUCCGGGGCUUAACUCCGGGCGUGCAGGCGAUACGGGCUGACUUGAGUGCUGUAGGGGAGACUGGAAUUCCUGGUGUAGCGGUGAAAUGCGCAGAUAUCAGGAGGAACACCGAUGGCGAAGGCAGGUCUCUGGGCAGUAACUGACGCUGAGGAGCGAAAGCAUGGGUAGCGAACAGGAUUAGAUACCCUGGUAGUCCAUGCCGUAAACGGUGGGCGCUAGGUGUAGGGGGCUUCCACGUCUUCUGUGCCGUAGCUAACGCAUUAAGCGCCCCGCCUGGGGAGUACGGCCGCAAGGCUA